UGUGCAUUUAAUGCUGGUGUGCUUGCUCCAUCUUUCUACUGCUUGCAUCCUUCAUUAAAAAUACCAUUUAUUGAAAAAUCCACUUUUAUAGUACCAUUUGCAGCUAACAGUGCUUUUAGUGUUAGGAUCUGCUCCUGCCGCUGCUGCUGAAAAAAACAAGAGAAUAUGAUACAGAGAUCCAAUACAGAGCAAGAUGUCUUGCUGUAGUCUCUGAAAUGAUUGCUUUUUGUUUUUGUUUUUGAAUGGGUACAGUUGCUGGAGAACUCUGAUUUGUGUAUGUGUCUGAGUAUCACAAUGGGCUGUUUUUCUGCACUGCUCUCAGUACUAUAGCCUGAGAUACUGCAGCUGUUUUUAAGGUCAUUUCCUUUUAUUUUAAAUAAUUGUUCAUUUAACAUAUGUUGUUAAACUCAUUCUUGCGUCAAAAGGAGGCGAUUAUACUUCCUGACCCUGAAAGCAAGUGUCUUGGAUUUUCUUCUGAAAUCCCACAAAAUGACUGAUGAAGCAAAUAUGGAGUCCCAUCAUCACAGACAGAAAGGAAAUGGAGGGUAAGCAAUUCAGUGACAGUUCAACCUAUGUGAUCCCCAGGUGAUGUUGGAAAUGGGUGAACAGGACUUUGAAAUGCCAUGACUGGAAAAGGGAUGGCUUCAGUGGAAUAACUCAAGACUGAAGCAUGACCCUGGAACCUUCAGACGACCCCAUGCUCACCUAGGAUGAAUACCAACCGAGUAAAAGGCCUCUUAUCACCACUUCCAGUGUCACAGCAAUGCUGUGGAAACAGAACAGAAGCCCAUGUUUCAGCCAGGACUGCAAUGGCCUCCUCCCAUGGGAAUAACAGCUGCAUAAAUAGGAGAGAGACCCUCCGUGGAAUUGCGUCCAACACCUUUCUAAUGGAAAUAAUGAUUUGCAAAGCCCAGUUUAUACCUUUGCCACAUAAUUAGUAGCCAGAAGAGCCUGAAGAUAAAAAACAUUGUUCCAACUCCCAGCAUCCUUGAAAUUUGGCAAGACCUUAAAUAUUCCACUCUGUGUUCCAAAAAGGUAGCUUAUAUGUGAUCAUUGUAAGGAGAGUCUUAGGCAGUUGAGCCAAGCCCUUGAAUCAAUCAACACUUAUUAUAUGGAAAUUAACCAGUUUGAUGUCAAUUAGUGGAAAUUUGUUAGCAGACAUACCCUGUGGGACAUUUUAUUUUGAAUUCCUAACACUCCUUAUAGAAGCUAGCUAAGAAAGGGUCAGGGACUGCAAAUCAAUUUUCUCAAAAAGUCAGAGUAGGAUUAGUUAAAAAAACAGUUUAGAAACUAAGAAAGGAAAAGCUACACUAAAACACUCUGACACAUAAA
Molecule: long non-coding RNA, 1332 nt
Organism: Gavialis gangeticus (Gharial)
Lineage: Eukaryota; Metazoa; Chordata; Crocodylia; Gavialidae
Exons: 3
Source: RefSeq, a predicted model, not a curated record